Molecule: ribosomal RNA, 115 nt
Filed under: Danio rerio (zebrafish)
Lineage: Eukaryota; Metazoa; Chordata; Actinopteri; Cypriniformes; Danionidae
Source: RNAcentral
GCCGGCAGCUAGCUCUCUGCAACUCUCACAUGGUUGCCCACUGAAGCCAAGCAGGGCUGCGUCUGGUCAGUACCUGGAUGGGAGACCACAUGGGAAAGCUAGGUUGCUGCCGGAA